RNAcentral lists this ribosomal RNA (456 nucleotides) under metal-contaminated soil clone K20-71. Its description in RNAcentral is "bacterial SSU rRNA". It matches the Rfam family "Bacterial small subunit ribosomal RNA", at positions 54 to 528 of the family's 1533-position model. Lineage: Bacteria; Bacillati; Actinomycetota; Actinomycetes. The record is from RNAcentral.
CAUGCAAGUCGAACGGUGAACCGGAGCUUGCUCCGGGAAUCAGUGGCGAACGGGUGAGUAACACGUGAGAAACCUGCCUCGAAGUCUGGGAUAAGCCAGGGAAACUUGGUCUAAUACCGGAUACCUUCAUUUGUUCUUAUGUUCGAAUGAAGAAAGUUUUUCGCUUCGAGAGGGUCUCGCGUCCUAUCAGCUUGUUGGUGGGGUAACGGCCUACCAAGGCUUCGACGGGUGGCUGGUCUGAGAGGAUGGUCAGCCACACUGGGACUGAGACACGGCCCAGACUCCUACGGGAGGCAGCAGUUAGGAAUCUUGCGCAAUGGGCGAAAGCCUGACGCAGCAACGCCGCGUGAGGGAUGAAAGCUUUCGGGUUGUAAACCUCUUUCAGCAGGAACGAAAUUGACGGUACCUGCAGAAGAAGCUCCGGCCAACUACGUGCCAGCAGCCGCGGUAAUACGU